AUCUGUCAUUUAGCAGGUGGGUCUUGUUGAAAUUUAAAAUUCUUAGAUGAUUUUAUAGUUUUUAGGGGACCUGACAAAGUCAGAAGCACUGUUGUUAAAAUCAAAGUGCUGCGUGAAGUGUCUGCUGGGUAUGUUGCAACUUUGUAUGAGACCAUACUGAAAGUCAUCGGGGAUGACAAGACACUACCAACUACCAAGCUGCCCUCCGUCGCCAGUGACGGAGAUUGUCAUGGUGAUCAUUUUGAAUUCUGUAAUGGAGAUAUACUGGAGUUGGCAAGAGACUCCAUGACUCAUUUCCUGGCCUUAUAACUGUGCGGCACAUCGCCUCAAUCUGGCUGUGUCAGACUGCAUUAAGGACAGAGGGGAGUACCCUACCGCACCAAAUAUGCCAGGACUGUCGGAACAAUCUUCGGGUUCUACAGGCCUCCAGCAACAGGACCAGCAAUCUCAAGGAAAUGGAGAGGCUUUUUGAACCCCAAAUCAAGCUGCAGGUUAUAUCAGUAUUCAACGCUAGAUUAUUCACAGAUUUACUUUCGCUUUUGUCAUUUAGUAGGCUGAAGACAUCCCUGACCAAGCUGAGAGGGAACAGCAUAGUCAAGAACUGCUGGCGGGCAUGCCUCCAAUCAGACGCUGGUCUGAAGACUCAGGAGGAUGAGAUCCUUGCAUAGUUCAAAUAAGUAUUCUGGGAGAGGUUCAAGGUUAAGUAUGAUCGAGUAUGGGAAUGCUGAGAUGAGGACCCAGGCAAAACAGUUCCCAAGACUGAGGGAGUCUGACCUUGUGUAUGAGUGGGACUCCUACAGUGAGAAAUCCUGAUCUGAAGGUAUUAUAUAGGUGAUUAUUUAGCUUGUAUCUGAGGAAUCAUCUGAGCUGUAUUCCACCCUGAGCCUUGCAGUCGCAAUCGCCUACAGACAUGAAGCCGGAAAAUAAUGUCUGAGAACCCUAUUGCUAUUCAUGUUCGUAUCAGAAUAAUUCAAUGAUUCUUAAUGCAUGAAUUGCUUUUUUAAAACGUUAGCACCCCUCCCCAACAGACUUCAGGAGAGGUACUUGGAUGUGUGUUGCAAGAUGGCAAUUGAUGGACCAGACCGGGGGGCCUUGGAAGAAGUGCAUGGAAACUCAAGGCUGAAAUGUUCUGCCUCUGGUUGUGAAAUGGUUCUGGUUCUGAAAUUCUAAUGCUACCGAGGCUAAUGAGGGAGCACGCAAUUGGAAAAAGAUUCAGCAUGUCAAAUAAGGAGCAGAAACCAAGUUUCAUUCAUCUUUAUAGAACUGGGUGUGGCUCACAGCCGUAAAGGUUUGACCACUAGUGAUAGCGCCCCCUGUAGUCAAAGCGGCUCACAACCUUUUUGAGACCUCUGUA
Molecule: long non-coding RNA, 1354 nt
Organism: Gadus macrocephalus (Pacific cod)
Lineage: Eukaryota; Metazoa; Chordata; Actinopteri; Gadiformes; Gadidae
Exons: 2
Source: RefSeq, a predicted model, not a curated record